AGUGAACGCUGGCGGUAGGCCUAACACAUGCAAGUCGAACGGCAGCACAGGAGAGCUUGCUCUCUAGGUGGCGAGUGGCGGACGGGUGAGGAAUACAUCGGAAUCUGCCCAGUCGUGGGGGAUAACGUAGGGAAACUUACGCUAAUACCGCAUACGACCUUCGGGUGAAAGAGGGGGAUCGCAAGACCUCUCGCGAUUGGAUGAGCCGAUGUCGGAUUAGCUAGUUAGCGGGGUAAUGGCCCACCAAGGCGACGAUCCGUAGCUGGUCUGAGAGGAUGAUCAGCCACACUGGAACUGAGACACGGUCCAGACUCCUACGGGAGGCAGCAGUGGGGAAUAUUGGACAAUGGGCGCAAGCCUGAUCCAGCCAUACCGCGUGGGUGAAGAAGGCCUUCGGGUUGUAAAGCCCUUUUGUUGGGAAAGAAAUCUCUCAGGCUAAUACCCUGGGAGGAUGACGGUACCCAAAGAAUAAGCACCGGCUAACUUCGUG
RNAcentral lists this ribosomal RNA (490 nucleotides) under uncultured bacterium. Its description in RNAcentral is "partial 16S ribosomal RNA". It matches the Rfam family "Bacterial small subunit ribosomal RNA", at positions 29 to 507 of the family's 1533-position model. The record is from RNAcentral.